UGGGAGGGCGCGCGUGGCAAAUCCCGCGGGGAAUGCGAGAGAGGCCUGUGGAAUGGGAACCCGGCACUGGCUUUUUGGAGAGAAGUUGCAAAUAGCUACAGAAAAGGAGCAAACAUCACCGAGGUAUGGGUGCCACUUUCUCAGGUGCUCUGCAGUUGUCUUCAUCAAGGAAGGAUUAUUUGAAAUCAGCCUGGUACUGUCUUUUCAAGGUUACACAGCUCCUGUGUUAAAAUGAAGGUUCCAAUUCAGUCUGGAUUUCACUAAAGCAGCACGAAAUAGCUCUUGAUUCUAAUACAAUAGCUAUGACAAGGUUAGAGGGAAGCUGAGGGUAGAGCUUUAUUUGAGAGAAGAGAGGAGUGGAAGAGGGAGGAGCUGAAAGCAGCAGCAGCAGAAAGAAGUCAUACGUGACUUUAAUCACAGAUGAGAAUGAGAGACCACUUGCCUGCAGGUUUACUGUCGGAGGGGCGGUUUGGCAAAAAAUAUGCAAGCUUUAUUUUUUCUGUCAAAUGUAUGGGUCAAAAUGAGAUAUGUUUACAUUUAAUUCCUUCUGUGUUCUUUAUUCUGUGUUUCAGUACUAUAUUUCUUGAAAUAAAGAUUUUAUUAAUUCUA
Long non-coding RNA from Catharus ustulatus (Swainson's thrush), 609 nucleotides. RefSeq lists it as uncharacterized. The transcript has 2 exons. NCBI's taxonomy places the organism in Eukaryota, Metazoa, Chordata, Aves, Passeriformes, Turdidae. The record is from RefSeq and is a predicted model, not a curated record.